Molecule: ribosomal RNA, 336 nt
Filed under: Tromodesia sp. n. 1 AT-2015
Lineage: Eukaryota; Metazoa; Arthropoda; Insecta; Diptera; Rhinophoridae
Description: partial small subunit ribosomal RNA
Source: RNAcentral
AUAGUUAUGUUCUUGAACUUAAAAAAUUUGGCGGUAUUUUAUUCUAUUCAGAGGAACCUGUUCUAUAAUCGAUAAUCCACGAUGGACCUUACUUAAAUUUGUUGUCAGUUUAUAUACCGUCGUUAUUAGAAUAUUUUAUUAGAAUGUUAAUAUUCAAAAUUUUUAAUUAAGAAAAUAUAUCAGAUCAAGGUGUAGCUAAUAUUUAAGAAGAAAUGGGUUACAAUAAAAUUAUUUAUAUGGAUAUAAAUUUGAAAUAUUUAUUGAAAGUGGAUUUGAUUGUAAAAUUAUAAAGAUAAAUAAUUUGAUUUUAGUUCUAAAAUAUGCACAAAUCGCCCG